Molecule: ribosomal RNA, 243 nt
Filed under: uncultured bacterium
Lineage: Bacteria
Description: partial 16S ribosomal RNA
Rfam family: Bacterial small subunit ribosomal RNA
Source: RNAcentral
GCUAGCGUUGCUCGGAAUCACUGGGCGUAAAGCGCACGUAGGCGGCUUUUUAAGUCAGGGUUGAAAUCCUGGAGCUCAACUCCAGAACUGCCUUUGAUACUGAGAAGCUUGAGUCCGGGAGAGGUGAGUGGAACUGCGAGUGUAGAGGUGAAAUUCGUAGAUAUUCGCAAGAACACCAGUGGCGAAGGCGGCUCACUGGCCCGGUACUGACGCUGAGGUGCGAAAGCGUGGGGAGCAAACAGG